UACGUAGGGUGCGAGCGUUAAUCGGAAUUACUGGGCGUAAAGCGUGCGCAGGCGGUUGUGUAAGACAGAUGUGAAAUGCCCGGGCUUAACCUGGGAACUGCAUUUGUGACUGCACGGCUAGAAUCUGGCAGAGGGGGGUAGAAUUCCACGUGUAGCAGUGAAAUGCGUAGAGAUGUGGAGGAAUACCGAUGGCGAAGGCAGCCCCCUGGGCCAAGAUUGACGCUCAUGCACGAAAGCGUGGGGAGCAAACAGG
This 253-nucleotide ribosomal RNA is filed under the name uncultured bacterium. RNAcentral describes it as "partial 16S ribosomal RNA". It matches the Rfam family "Bacterial small subunit ribosomal RNA", at positions 524 to 776 of the family's 1533-position model. The record is from RNAcentral.